Molecule: ribosomal RNA, 412 nt
Filed under: uncultured bacterium
Lineage: Bacteria
Description: bacterial SSU rRNA
Rfam family: Bacterial small subunit ribosomal RNA
Source: RNAcentral
GAUGAACGCUGGCGGCGUGCCUAACACAUGCAAGUCGAGCGAUUCUYUUCGGAGAAGAGCGGCGGACGGGUGAGUAACGCGUGGGUAACCUACCCUGUACACACGGAUAACAUACCGAAAGGUAUGCUAAUACGGGAUGAUAUAUAGAAAUCGCAUGAUUUUUAUAUCAAAGAUUUAUCGGUACAGGAUGGACCCGCGUCUGAUUAGCUUGUUGGCGGGGUAACGGCCCACCAAGGCGACGAUCAGUAGCCGACCUGAGAGGGUGAUCGGCCACAUUGGAACUGAGACACGGUCCAAACUCCUACGGGAGGCAGCAGUGGGGAAUAUUGCACAAUGGGCGCAAGCCKGAUGCAGCAACGCCGCGUGAGCGAUGAAGGCCUUCGGGUCGUAAAKCUYUGUCCUCAAGGAAGAU